Molecule: unclassified non-coding RNA, 1493 nt
Filed under: Hevea brasiliensis (rubber tree)
Lineage: Eukaryota; Viridiplantae; Streptophyta; Magnoliopsida; Malpighiales; Euphorbiaceae
Source: RNAcentral
GGAAAGGGAAAAAAGCUCAUUCAUUCAUAUAUACAAAAGACGUCUACACUUUGCAAGUACAAGCGAAAAACAGAAACAAAAUCCAAUUGGAUCACGUACAAAAAGCCAGAGGGGUAGAAAUGCACGAUUCAAACCAGAUCCGUAGAUACUCGAUUAACAAAACAUUUCAAAAAUACAAAGCAUUAGGCCUUGUUCUUGAUAAUACUCGCGUAAGAGCAUGUCAAUUUUGUUCUACCAGAACGAAAUAGAUCUCUUGGAGCCAGAGGAGGGAGGGCUGAUCUGUGGAACAGUAAAUGCAUCAUCAGCCCACCUUCUGUUGUUACCUUUCAUGUUCGUGGUCUCUUUUGUCUCCUUUAACCCAAUUUGCUCUCCCAUCUGUGGAUAAUGUUGAGAUGGGUAUAGAGGAGUUGGCGCUUUAGGGACCCAGAUUCCCAUGGUUUCCGAAGAGAAAGGGGUAAUAUUGCUCCCAAGGUCAUUACCCACAAACGGCAAUAUCCCAUCAUCAGGCUUACAGAAACCAAAGGGAGUAGAAGGGAAAUCAAGAAGGUCUUCGACAUGCCAGCCUGGCAGCGUCUCCAUCAAGUACUCUGAUAUACUGCUUGUUGAACCAAUUCCUUCAUUUAUUAGCGGAUUAUCGCCUUCCUUGUUCACUGUUGCGUCAGAGAAUACGCCCUUGUUCACCGUCGUAUUUGAGGAUAAGGGCUUGUUCACCGUCGUAUUUGAGGAUAAGGGCUUGUUCACUGUUGAGUUUGGAGUUGAGGUCUUAGCAAUUGAAGGUGGAUGAGAACUUGGGAGGGAGAGGGACACAGAUUUCUUGGUCGAUGGCUGUUUUUGAGACUUGGAAUCAGGAACAAGAUCACCGCGGUCGGUUACAAAGGAGGAGGAAGAGGAGGAGGAGGAGGAUAUAUAAAGGGCAGAGGCGGCAGAGAGCUUAACUCCAGUGAGAAGGAACCUAUUAUGCUUCUGGGUAUGCUCGUUGGCCUUGUGUAUCGAAACAUCACAGUCUCUGCAAAGAAUCGCUCUAUCUUGUUGACAAAACAAGAAAGCCCGUUUCUCCUGGCAGACAUCACAGAGAGGGGAGUUUUUAGAUGUAGGAUGGACAAGGGAAAAACGUUGGUGCUUGGAGGCGAGUUUGUUGGCGUGGUGGACGCGGUGGUCGCAGGCGUCACAGAGGGCACCCUCGUCGGCCGUGCAGAACACGGACGCCUCUUCUUUGCUACAGACAUCGCACUGGAUCUUCAUCUAGUAGUAGAACUGAGGGUAUAACCUAUAAUAUGCUAAGCCAGCCUUCUAAAGAUAGAAAGAAAGCUGUUUUCCGAGGCAAAGGAAAGCAAUAGCUGUUAUGGUGAGAGAGAGCAGAUAUUAAAAUAGUACACUAGGUACUAGGAGACAGGAGUGUCUUACCUCUCAAUGCUUUCGUUCUCUUUUUCUGUGUUUGACUCUGCUCUCUGCCAUGGCGUUCUGGAUCGGGGUCUCAAAUUGCUGCGUUUUCU